AACUUACCGUGGCCGGUUGGCUAUUUUUGAAAAAGUUGUGCCUCUGCACUCAGCAGGCGGAGCAGAGAGAAAGGUAACAUCACACACACAAAAGUAGAUGAUAAGAAUUUAAGAUCUCUGGACGUGUGCCUGUACUCACCUACUUGAGAGGCUCAAGCACGGAGUGGAGGUUCAAUAGAUGAGAAGGCCAACCCUAGUCACGGCUUCUUCCUUGUACACAACUGGGAUAUCUGUUUGACUACUCAGAGAUCACAUGAGGUCCCCAACAGUGACAAAUUCUACAGACAAUGAAAUGGAAGAAAAGCAGACACACUGUCAGAGGAAAUGGCAACCUACUGCAGCCAUCAUGCAAACCACUGCAGCUUUUCGACAACUGAACAAGUGGAAGAUUCAUGUCAUUGUUCAUUAUUUGAACUGGGAAAAGGGAUGGACUUGCAAGAAGAUUAGGAGGGUACCAUAACACAUUCCCUACAGUAAUUAGGGCUUCCCUUAACAAAGCCAAGGCUGGCACCUGGGUAGAUGUUCUUUGUUGAUUACGAAGUCUUAAUGUGGACUAGCUUCAGAAGCUUCUCAGAGCCAAACCGUCAUCUCUUUGCCUUUCUGCUACGAAGACCACACUCCCAUCCAGGCCACCCACCAGGUUCCAUUUGGUGGAACCCCCACCAAGGACACCUUUAGCUGUUGAUUGCUUUAUAGAAUAACCGGGCUGGAUGACAGCCCUGAGCAGUUUGCCAGUGUGGUCUAGUUUUCUAGGUUUCCCUGGUGAGUCAACAGGAAUGUAUCUACUUGUCUCUGGGAAUUGCAGUUCUACAUCAUCACCUAAAGUCUUCCAGAUUUUCCUGAAGAGAGGCAAAUCUGCAACGAGACGAGAAAUCAGUGAUAGGAAGAAAACUGUAAAGGUGUAAAACACAACUGAAAGCUGACUGUUGAAUUAACAUCGUGGUGAACAAGUGAACAGGACAGAAAGGGCUCCAAAUCUCCAGGAGCUGGUGAUCAACCAGGAAAGGGAAACAUUGACCGGACGGGAAAGCCACGAUUCACAGCCGUGAUUCCAGAAAGGGGCCUUUGUUGAAUCUGUAUUUGGCUACACCAAUAGAAGAAAGCCAGUCAACAUCAUGUUGUGAUCGUCCCUGGCUCUUUUCUUCCGAGCUGUUUAUGAAGCAGGGAUCUCACAGGAAGCUGGGCUGUAAAGUUCUGGGCAGAGAUCUUGGAUGUGAGUCAUGGAAAUGAACCUGAACUGAGAGUUGCUUUCCAAAGACUAUCUCACCACUGGGAUUCAGGCUGAACAAAGGAGUUAGAUUCAAGUCCUUUCUCCUGAACUGUGCUGACCACACCUUUCAUACCAAGAUACGUUGAUUGCACCCAGAGACCAAAGGACACCGUGAUUUGAUCCCCUGAGCUGAAUGCUUUCCAUGUUCCAGGCAGUGUGACAGUGUCUCUCACGUGAGAAAGGGUCUCUAUUAUGUAGCUCUGGAUGUCCUGAAACUUGCUAUUGAGACCAGGCUGGCCUAGACCUUGUGGAUAUCUACCUGUCUCUGUUUCCUGAUCACUGAUAUUAA
RNAcentral lists this long non-coding RNA (1559 nucleotides) under Mus musculus (house mouse). RNAcentral describes it as "predicted gene 12610". Lineage: Eukaryota; Metazoa; Chordata; Mammalia; Rodentia; Muridae. The record is from RNAcentral.